RNAcentral lists this ribosomal RNA (738 nucleotides) under uncultured bacterium. RNAcentral describes it as "bacterial SSU rRNA". It matches the Rfam family "Bacterial small subunit ribosomal RNA", at positions 48 to 796 of the family's 1533-position model. The record is from RNAcentral.
GCUACCAUGCAAGUCGAACGGGAACAUUCUGGAGCUUGCUUUAGGGUGUUUCAGUGGCGGACGGGUGAGUAACGCGUGAGUAACCUGCCUUUCAGAGGGGGAUAACGUCUGGAAACGGACGCUAAUACCGCAUAACAUUCUUAUUCCGCAUGGGAAAAGGAUCAAAGGAGUAAUCCGCUGAGAGAUGGACUCGCGUCCGAUUAGCCAGUUGGUGAGGUAAAGGCCCACCAAAGCUGCGAUCGGUAGCCGGACUGAGAGGUUGAACGGCCACAUUGGGACUGAGAUACGGCCCAGACUCCUACGGGAGGCAGCAGUGGGGGAUAUUGCACAAUGGAGGAAACUCUGAUGCAGCAACGCCGCGUGAGGGAAGACGGUUUUCGGAUUGUAAACCUUUGUCCUUGGUGACGAUAAUGACGGUAGCCGAGGAGGAAGCUCCGGCUAACUACGUGCCAGCAGCCGCGGUAAUACGUAGGGAGCAAGCGUUGUCCGGAUUUACUGGGUGUAAAGGGUGCGUAGGCGGCAGUGCAAGUCAGGUGUGAAACCCCUCGGCUCAACUGAGGGCGUGCAUUUGAAACUGUGCUGCUUGAGUGGAGUAAAGGCAGGCGGAAUUCCCGGUGUAGCGGUGAAAUGCGUAGAGAUCGGGAAGAACACCAGUGGCGAAGGCGGCCUGCUGGGCUUUAACUGACGCUGAGGCACGAAAGCAUGGGUAGCAAACAGGAUUAGAUACCCUGGUAGUCC